UGGGGAAUAUUGGACAAUGGGGGCAACCCUGAUCCAGCCAUGCCGCGUGUGUGAAGAAGGCCUUUUGGUUGUAAAGCACUUUAAGCAGUGAAGAAGAUCUAUUGGCUAAUACCUGAUAGUGAUGACAUUAGCUGCAGAAUAAGCACCGGCUAACUCUGUGCCAGCAGCCGCGGUAAUACAGAGGGUGCGAGCGUUAAUCGGAAUUACUGGGCGUAAAGCGAGCGUAGGUGGUUUAAUAAGUCAGAUGUGAAAUCCCCGGGCUUAACCUGGGAACUGCAUCUAAAACUGUUAGACUAGAGUAGAUGAGAGGGAGGUAGAAUUUCAGGUGUAGCGGUGAAAUGCGUAGAGAUCUGAAGGAAUACCGAUGGCGAAGGCAGCCUCCUGGCAUCAUACUGACACUGAGGUUCGAAAGCGUGGGUAGCAAACA
Molecule: ribosomal RNA, 427 nt
Filed under: uncultured Moraxellaceae bacterium
Lineage: Bacteria; Pseudomonadati; Pseudomonadota; Gammaproteobacteria; Moraxellales; Moraxellaceae
Description: bacterial SSU rRNA
Rfam family: Bacterial small subunit ribosomal RNA
Source: RNAcentral